GACGAACGCGGCGGCGUGCCUAAUACAUGCAAGUAGAACGCUGAAGGAGGAGCUUGCUUCUCUGGAUGAGUUGCGAACGGGUGAGUAACGCGUAGGUAACCUGCCUGGUAGCGGGGGAUAACUAUUGGAAACGAUAGCUAAUACCGCAUAAUAUUGACUAUUGCAUGAUAGUCAGUUGAAAGGUGCAAUUGCACCACUACCAGAUGGACCUGCGUUGUAUUAGCUAGUUGGUGGGGUAACGGCUCACCAAGGCGACGAUACAUAGCCGACCUGAGAGGGUGAUCGGCCACACUGGGACUGAGACACGGCCCAGACUCCUACGGGAGGCAGCAGUAGGGAAUCUUCGGCAAUGGACGGAAGUCUGACCGAGCAACGCCGCGUGAGUGAAGAAGGUUUUCGGAUCGUAAAGCUCUGUUGUAAGAGAAGAACGAGUGUGAGAGUGGAAAAGUUCACACUG
RNAcentral lists this ribosomal RNA (457 nucleotides) under Streptococcus sp. oral taxon 058. RNAcentral's name for it is "bacterial SSU rRNA". It matches the Rfam family "Bacterial small subunit ribosomal RNA", at positions 28 to 471 of the family's 1533-position model. Lineage: Bacteria; Bacillati; Bacillota; Bacilli; Lactobacillales; Streptococcaceae. The record is from RNAcentral.